Carcharodon carcharias (great white shark) is the source of this 3112-nucleotide long non-coding RNA. RefSeq lists it as uncharacterized. The record is from RefSeq and is a predicted model, not a curated record. NCBI's taxonomy places the organism in Eukaryota, Metazoa, Chordata, Chondrichthyes, Lamniformes, Lamnidae. The transcript has 2 exons.
UACAGAAAGAGAAAUGGGAAAGGCAAAAUUGGAUUAAAAGAGAGAGAGGGAAAAGACAGAAACUAAACGUAAGAAAAAAAAAUUUAAUAUCAGUGGUGCUACUCAUCCAGUAACUGGUGGUGAUUUACAAUUCACAGGGUAUCACUUACUCGCCACGAGUUGCUAGAUGAUUUACACAUUUAAUGAUGGCAAGCGCUACUAAACCUGCCAUUAUUUUAGUGGCGCAUUCUGGGCUGUUAAUAAAUUGCAGAUAAAAAUAUGGUUAUCAUGUAUAAUUUACGUUAUGAUUUAUGUUAUACAAAUACUUAGUACUUAUAAAUACCUACAAACGAGAGAGAUUUAUCACUUGAAAUCAGGAUUGUGCUGACAACUGUAUUAUUCUCUGUGUACAGUGCAUAUGAUGCAGUAGUGCUCCAAUUAACUUUAAAUUUAGUUGUGUAGAAUAAUCUCAAGCAGUUCCAAGAACUCAAGUUUUUUAAAACAGCAACACUGGCUCAGUCAGUAGAUUUCAAUAUUGGAAUCAUCCUGGUUUGAUUUGCUAGAUUAAGACUUUCCAAAUAUUUUUACUAGCGCUAUCAAUUCUGCUAUUAUGCCAAUUGGACCUUAAUCUGUAUUCUUCAAUAUGUGCAUAAUGUUUACCAGAAGUUUCCUGAAUGUUUGGAAGCAUAGUCGUGGCAUUUUACAAAGUCAUUUUCAUGAUGCUAGAGUAGUGUUUUGUUUAUUAAGAAGAUCCUGUGCAUUUUUUUUGUUCUAUUCUAAAUUACAUUGAUUUGUGACUUUUUGUUUGAUACAAUUUCUUCAUUACAUCAGCUCACAUCACCCAAACCAGAUAGUUGCAUCAAUGGUGACGGAAGUAAAUAGGUAUAUCCAGAAUGAUUUGUUACACUACUGUCAGUCACCUCUGGUCUUGUUAAUUUUAUUAUUAGUAAGAGCUUGCUAGGGAAAGCUAAUGUUUCAUUUGCAUUUCUUACACUUGCAAGUGGCCCCUAUUAACUAGCUAACAAAGAGAUGUACGUCAAAUCCUUUCAAGAGCACUAUAUUCCGGAGUUAGUUUUCUUAGUUGUCACAGUAGGUGAUGUGAAUUUGGGAACACUAUAGUGUAGGUUUGCUUUCCUUCAUGAGUAGGUAGCCAAACAACCAAAAAUCUCCCGGAACUAAUGCACGUGAAAAGUUUUAUUAUUUCUUUCAGCGUUUAUUUCUUGCAAUUAAAAUAUAAAUAUAAGCUAAACAAGGUCUGUAAACCUAUUUUGAAAGCUGUGGAAGCAUACAGUGUCUCCAACUCAGAUUUCAAAGACACUGUUUAGCUCAAAAAAUGAAGAAAGUCGAGAGGAAUAUUUGAGUAAGCUAAAACCACCGGGAGCAUGGUUAAUAGAUCACGAAAGAUUGAGGGAGGAGGAUGGAAUUAGAAAAUAGUUCAAAUAAGCACUACAUUUUAACUCUUUUCUAGAAGGAGUAACCACAAAACGCCACAUGGAAACAUAUAUUUGAAACAGUAUCAGUGUGAAGACAAUCUAAAUAUGAACAGAGCUACUUUUCUAAACGCAGAUACACACAAAAACUGUAAAUUGACUAUGAACUCGGGAUUUUUAAACUGAACAAUGCAUUAUGUUUGAAGACUGAGAUAUAUGAUACACCUCAACCCUCCAUGAACUCCAUCUCAUAAGGAUCUUGAUGGUGAAAUGCCCGCUUUAAGAAUCAGAAUGAACAAUGAAUCAAAUGUUGCAUAUGUAAUUUAUGUCUUUGACUCUUGGGAAGGUAAUUGCUAAUUAUAUAAGGUUGGACCAAUUAACUUUAACUAACAGCUUAUGGAGUUUAAUAUUGGCAUAAUACAGCAUCCUACACAUUCAAUUUGUUUCAGUUUUACUCUACAGAGGAUUGCUGCUUGAAUAACAAAAUAUUAGAGCAUUAGUUACAGAUUUGAAAUGCAUUUCUGAAACAUACUUUGGGUAUAGUAAGUAUUCUACUUAUAAAGUUUAGCUUUACAUCAAUACUUCUCACAUGGGAAUGGAACUGUGUUUUGAGUUUCAAAUAGAAUAUUAAAUUGCAAAGACAACUAGCUGACAUAUAUUUACAAGUAUUAAUGAUAAAUAACAACCAAUUGGUACAUUUGCGAUCCUUUUUUCAUCUAUCUUAUUAAAUAACAGAUCCCCACAGCAUCCUUGCAUACUUCCCAGCGAAUUUCAAAGCAUUUUUAGCAAAAGCAAUUAUAAUAUUAAAUAACUUUUGAGAAAUUGAUCUGGUAAAAGAGUGUAUUUGAAUUUUGAACAUUUCAAAACAUCACCGUAAAAUAAUUACUUUCGAAAUUAAGUUUGUCAGGGUAAUCAAGAAGCAGGCACACUUUAAAAUAGAAUCGAGUAACUUUAUUUCGCAAUGUAAAUGAAUGAACUGUAAUUGCAAGAUCACCACAAUAUCAAUUGUGUAUGUUUUACUAUGUUAAAACAAUUCAAAACUCUGUCAUUAAUAAACUUUCAUUUACAUCUUUCAAACUAUUAAAUGGGAAUGUACCACUGACCUGACAUCUAAUGAAAUCAAAUGUUUCAACUACUGCACUGUAUAAUGCUAAGACCUAAAUCAUGUGAGCAUUAUUUUAAUGUCUAUAUAUAAUUUUUAAUCACAACCCAGAAGAUGAUGCACUUGAAAUAAAAAUUGAGUCAUGUAGUUAAUGUUUUUUUUUUCACUUUGCACAAACUGGUGACCAUGAAAUCCUGUAUGGCAUAAGUGUUGGAAAAUAACUCCAGUUUUACUGGGUAGAAUUCUGUGAUAGGAGUCUCUAGUGUAUCUAAUAUCUUUGCUAACAGUAUCCAAGUACAUUAUCUUUUUAGUGCCUUAAUAUUGUUUCCAUGUAUUAGGUAAAUUCAGGUAUUAAUGUUUCAGAAGCAGCAAUAACUUGAACCCAAUAGAAAUGCAAAUUUCACAAUUUAACCUUAUUAAAAUAUGAAAGGCAACUUGUAAUUGGCAUUUGUAUACUUUAUUCCAUAUUUGCUUUUGAUUUCUAUGCAACAGAUUUAAGUACUCACUGUAUUAUGGCAAUUGCUUUGUACUUUUAAUUUUGUAUAAUUCAGUUUAUUGUUCAUAGUUUUUUUUUGAUGAAAGUAAAAGCUUAUUCAACAUA